GCCCCGGAAGUCCCGCCCCUAGCCAGCCUCCGCUUCCUCGAUGCCCACCCGGUGGCUUCCAACAGCUCCUCCAACUAGGAAUCUCUUUUGCUUCCAGGCCUUGCCGGAAGAGACCUUUUGAUUGGCUGAGCUUCCCCAUCUACCUGAGGCCGUAGGAGGGCGGGGACCAGCUCCGUGGCGGGAAGCCGGUCACCCAGCAGGAUGUUGUGCUCAGGGAACACCACCACAGACCGGUGUGAUACUCAGGGGCCUCGGCUCCACCAUAACCUGACGGUGGGCAACAGAUCUCCCUGGAGCACGAGAUCCUGCUGCACCCGCGCUAUUUCGGCCCCAACCUGCUCAACACGGUCAAGCAGAAGCUCUUCACCGAGGUGGAGGGGACCUGCACCGGCAAGUAUGGCUUUGUAAUUGCUGUCACCACCAUUGACAAUAUUGGUGCUGGUGUGAUCCAGCCAGGCCGAGGGUUUGUCCUUUAUCCAGUUAAGUACAAGGCCAUUGUUUUCCGGCCCUUUAAAGGGGAGGUCGUGGAUGCUGUUGUCACUCAAGUCAACAAGGUUGGACUUUUCACAGAAAUUGGACCAAUGUCCUGCUUCAUUUCUCGACAUUCCAUCCCAUCAGAGAUGGAGUUUGACCCCAACUCCAACCCACCAUGUUAUAAGACAAUGGAUGAGGACAUUGUGAUUCAGCAGGAUGAUGAGAUCCGCUUGAAGAUUGUGGGGACCCGUGUGGACAAGAAUGACAUUUUUGCUAUUGGCUCUCUGAUGGACGAUUACUUGGGGCUUGUGAGCUGAGCACCGGGGCCUCCUGCUCUGUUUGGUCCUCAUCUAGGAGCUGUGACGGUCAUGCUCCGCAUAUCGUCCAGAAGCCUAGUCUGGUUGCUGUGGGGAGGCAGAGAAGGUUCCUUGUCCACAGAAAAUAUCUCGUUCUUCUUGAUGCUUAGCCACUCCCCAGGUUUUUGACUGUACAUUCUAACCAUAAAAGGUCCUUGUUCUCAUGGA
RNA transcript from Canis lupus familiaris (dog), 998 nucleotides. It is a transcript of the gene named RNA polymerase II subunit G, with no coding region annotated. The record is from RefSeq and is a predicted model, not a curated record. Lineage: Eukaryota; Metazoa; Chordata; Mammalia; Carnivora; Canidae. The transcript is spliced from 9 exons.